Molecule: ribosomal RNA, 467 nt
Filed under: uncultured bacterium
Lineage: Bacteria
Description: partial 16S ribosomal RNA
Rfam family: Bacterial small subunit ribosomal RNA
Source: RNAcentral
GACGAACGCUGGCGGCGUGCUUAACACAUGCAAGUCGAACGGAAAGGCUCCAGCUUGCUGGAGUACUCGAGUGGCGAACGGGUGAGUAACACGUGGGUAAUCUGCCCUGCACUCUGGGAUAAGCCUGGGAAACUGGGUCUAAUACUGGAUAUGACCUUUCUCCUUAUGGGGUUUGGUGGAAAGUUUUUCGGUGUAGGAUGAGCCCGCGGCCUAUCAGCUUGUUGGUGGGGUGAUGGCCUACCAAGGCGACGACGGGUAGCCGGCCUGAGAGGGUGAUCGGCCACAUUGGGACUGAGAUACGGCCCAGACUCCUACGGGAGGCAGCAGUGGGGGAUAUUGCACAAUGGGCGGAAGCCUGAUGCAGCGACGCCGCGUGAGGGAUGACGGCCUUCGGGUUGUAAACCUCUUUCAGCAGGGACGAAGCGUAAGUGACGGUACCUGCAGAAGAAGCACCGGCUAACUAUGUG